UGGGGCAUAGUUUAACGGUAGAACAUCGGACUCUGACUCCGCUAGUAUUGGUUCGAAUCCAGUUGCCCCAACCA
This 74-nucleotide transfer RNA is filed under the name Rickettsiales bacterium. RNAcentral's name for it is "tRNA-Gln". It matches the Rfam family "tRNA". Rfam says of the family: Transfer RNA (tRNA) molecules are approximately 80 nucleotides in length. Their secondary structure includes four short double-helical elements and three loops (D, anti-codon, and T loops). The record is from RNAcentral. Lineage: Bacteria; Pseudomonadati; Pseudomonadota; Alphaproteobacteria; Rickettsiales.